Molecule: ribosomal RNA, 301 nt
Filed under: uncultured bacterium
Lineage: Bacteria
Description: partial 16S ribosomal RNA
Rfam family: Bacterial small subunit ribosomal RNA
Source: RNAcentral
CAGUCGCCACGGUAAUACGUAGGGUGCGAGCGUUAAUCGGAAUUACUGGGCGUAAAGCGUGCGCAGGCGGUUGUGUAAGACAGGUGUGAAAUCCCCGGGCUUAACCUGGGAACUGCGCUUGUGACUGCACAGCUAGAGUAUGGCAGAGGGGGGUGGAAUUCCACGUGUAGCAGUGAAAUGCGUAGAGAUGUGGAGGAACACCGAUGGCGAAGGCAGCCCCCUGGGCCAAUACUGACGCUCAUACACGAAAGCGUGGGGAGCAAACAGGAUUAGAUACCCCCGUAGUCCCUGUCUCUUAUAC